UCAGGUUACUCUUUUGGCAUGAAGAGAGGCAUGAUAGGAAGAAGGCUGUCCCUUGGUAGGAGAAGCCAUAUUUAACAUCUAGACUUAUUCCAUGUGGCAGCCAUUUUAAAGCACAGAGAAUUAUGGGAAUGAAGCUACUGUUUUACGUAGCAGCCAUCUUGAGGCAAGGGAAUCUAACACCACCUUCCUUUGAGAAGUCAGGCAGCACUAGGUCUCAGUCCAAGGCAUGAAGGUCCACGAAGGCUCUGCUUUCUGAUACCCAUAGGCCAUCAGUGGGGCGACCAAGUAUUCCAUGUGAUGGCUCUGGAGAGAGACAGCUCUGCAUCCACAUGAAAGUGCACAGCGUAGAGCUGGAAGACGUUGCUGUGCUCUGGGGGGCUGCUUCAGGUCUGACACCUAACAGGUGGCAUGGCGCCUUGCAGAGGUGAGCUGGCCUGUAAUGGUUCUCUUCCCUUCCUGCGCUAGUGAAAGAGGAAGAGGAUGAGAGCAGCGUGUAAAGGUGGUUGUAUCAGGGAUGGAGAUGAGUGAGCUAACCACACUGAGCUCCCCAAACAAUGAAACUGGAGGCAAGCGCUGGGAAGAGGGGGUAGGAGCAAAGUGCAUCGCAUGUACGUAUAAGGCUGCUAAAAUGAAAUGUAUUCAUCUGUAAAAGUAAAACCAAUUAGAAAAAGAGAUUUAAA
Long non-coding RNA from Fukomys damarensis (Damara mole-rat), 680 nucleotides. RefSeq lists it as uncharacterized. The record is from RefSeq and is a predicted model, not a curated record. The transcript is spliced from 3 exons. Lineage: Eukaryota; Metazoa; Chordata; Mammalia; Rodentia; Bathyergidae.